Molecule: ribosomal RNA, 329 nt
Filed under: uncultured eukaryote
Lineage: Eukaryota
Description: partial 18S ribosomal RNA
Rfam family: Eukaryotic small subunit ribosomal RNA
Source: RNAcentral
CCCUUAGAUGUUCUGGGCCGCACGCGCGCUACACUGACGAUGGCAACGAGUUUUUCCUUCGCCGAAAGGUGUGGGUAAUCUUUUGAAACAUCGUCGUGCUGGGGAUAGAUCAUUGCAAUUUUUGAUCUUGAACGAGGAAUUCCUAGUAAGCGCGAGUCAUCAGCUCGCGUUGAUUACGUCCCUGCCCUUUGUACACACCGCCCGUCGCUACUACCGAUUGAAUGGUUUAGUGAGGACUCCUGAUUGGCGCCGCCGCCCCGGCAACGGAGCAGCGGACUGCCGAAAAGUUGUUCAAACUUGAGCAUUUAGAGGAAGUAAAAGUCGUAACA